UCAAGUUCAAACAUAUCCAUCAUCUUCCUCCGCAAUUCAAAUCAGGUUCAUUCUUUUCUUUUCGGUUUUAAUUUGUUCCAUCGUAGCCGAUUCAGUUAGUUAGUUUUCUUAAUUUUUGGCUUCAGUCUAUUUUUCUACAACUAUAUAUGUGUUAUGUGUGUGCCGUGUGGAGAUAAGGGAGAGGAAGAAGAUUUGAGAAAGUGGGUUUUGGGUUUCUUUGUUGAAAACUAUGUUUGUUUGUGAGGCUCAGCUUCUGCUCUUCCCGAGUUACUUCAUGAAAAGCCAGUGAUUUUAUUGGAUUAUAAUUCCUAAUAGUGGUACAAGAACUAGAGAUCAUCCGUCGCCUUUCAUCACCUACCGCAACGGCCUCCACCCUGCCGGCGCACAGUUCGUUUCCAAAGACUUCAGGUAUCGAUGCCCACGAUGCAAGUGUGGGACUGUUGCGGAAAUCCGUGUUUUCGGUCCAACGAAGAAAACCCAAGGAAAAUUAUUUUGCAAUUGCCGAGUUGGAGCCUGUGAUUUGUUCCCUUGGCUUGAUCCUGUGAGCACUCGUUUCGGCGAGUGGAGCAAUGAUGGGGAUGAUGUGAACGAUUCGGAGGUUCAAUCUGCUGCAUUUGACGGAGAGCUACUCAAAGAAACAAAGGGGGUUGCGGAUGAAAUGUCUCAAUUGUGAAGGUGGUUGUGGAAUAACUACGUUAUGAAAUAAAAGCCUUCCGAACAACAUUGACGUAUGUCAAGCUUCUCAUGGUUGUUGUUAUGGUGAUUACCAUACCGAAGGUCUUGUUUUAAGAAAUUGGUAUAUCUUCGACUCAUUUGGUAAUGGUUCGUCUGCUCUCGUAGUAGCAUGGUAGAUUUCAUUGUAGUUGUAGGUGGGUGUAAAGUACCGGUGUUGUAGUAACAGCAGGGGUAGUAAAGUUGUGGCAGUAGCUGUAAUGUGUUUUUUUGAUUUGUAAUACAAUUCACCGUAAUAGUCUGUGUAGACAGCAUAUCAUCUCGUUCUUUAUUUUUAUAUAUUACAAUG
Molecule: RNA transcript, 1021 nt
Organism: Andrographis paniculata
Lineage: Eukaryota; Viridiplantae; Streptophyta; Magnoliopsida; Lamiales; Acanthaceae
Exons: 4
Source: RefSeq, a predicted model, not a curated record